Molecule: long non-coding RNA, 279 nt
Organism: Mizuhopecten yessoensis (Yesso scallop)
Lineage: Eukaryota; Metazoa; Mollusca; Bivalvia; Pectinida; Pectinidae
Exons: 3
Source: RefSeq, a predicted model, not a curated record
UGGACUAACUAGAAAAUUGCAAGACCAGAAAAAAGAUUCGGAGAAACGGGAAAAACAAAUGACCCAGAAAAUCAAAGAACUGGAGAGUCGUCUACUGUGUUCAGUGAGUAUAAAUGGCAUUCACAUUAACAUAUUGUUUGUUAUAGACGUGGCAAUUACAAAACAUCCUUACAUACUUGUUGGUUCGAUAAUGCCUUAAAGUGGUUUUAAUAAUGGAACGGAGAAUUAAAAACAUAAACCAGUUCAUUGACAACCAAUAAGCAUAUAUCGUAUCAGACU